UUCGUAGGCGGUGUGGUGUGUCGGGAGUGAAAUCUCUGGGCUUAACUCAGAGGCUGCUUCCGAAACUGCCAUGCUCGAGUGCGGGAGAGGCCAGUGGAAUUGCAGGUGUAGCGGUGAAAUGCGUAGAUAUCUGCAGGAACACCCGUGGCGAAGGCGGCUGGCUGGACCGCAACUGACGCUGAGGAACGAAAGCUAGGGGAGCAAACAGGAUUAGAUACCCUGGUAGUCCUAGCCCUAAACGAUCAGGACUUGGGGUGCAUCCCGUUGGGGGUGCGUCCCGUAGCUAACGCGUUAAGUCCUGCGCCUGGGAGUACGGUCGCAAGGCUGAA
This 329-nucleotide ribosomal RNA is filed under the name uncultured bacterium. RNAcentral describes it as "bacterial SSU rRNA". It matches the Rfam family "Bacterial small subunit ribosomal RNA", at positions 568 to 898 of the family's 1533-position model. The record is from RNAcentral.